CGCCCGCGCGCCAAUGAGUUCACUUUCUUUCUCUCCCCCGCGCUCCCCCUCUCCCCGCCCGCCGGCCCCUCCAGCCUCCUCCAAGGCGGCGGACCAGGCCGGGCCGGAGUUUUCGGGGUUCAGCCCGCGAGCGGGAGGACCGGGGAGGCGAGGGAGGAGGAAGGCGAGAAGGGCCAGAUCGCGGGAGAGCCCAAUCACGGGGCGAGCUGGACCUGGCUGUGAUCAUUUAUAAUCCUUGACUCCUCCGCUCCGCCACUUGUCAAGAUGACAGGGGUCAUCCGUGAAUAACACUUCACGCUGAUGAAUGGCUCUUGCCGGCUUUCGGCUCUGAUGAGGGGUCUGCCCGCCGCCGAUUGAAAACACUAAUGAACUUACUGCGCCAUUUGAAAUUCACACGCACCAACAAAAUGGGGGGUGGGCAUUUCAGGUCAGCUGAGUCACCCGAGGAGGUGGCAGUGCAAGACACUGCCGGGAAGACGGAUUCCGAGGCAGAAGGGUGUAAUUAAGGAUUUCCACCCCCGGUAGGCGGCCCGUCCUUUGCAGAGCCUCUGAAAAUGACCCGCGCCUUCCUUUCCACAGUGUUCUUUCGUCCGAGACCGAAAAGCGCAAAUGACCUUUGGACAGGGAAGGGAGGCAGUAAACACUCAGACUUCCUUACCAGCCCCUGGUGGGCACUGCAGCAGAACAAUUGUCUGCCCCCCAGGUUCAAGCACCUAGGCCUCCGCCCCGCAUCACCUGGCCAGGGGCGGACCCGGGAGUCCUCCGAAGGCUCCACUCCCCACUUUUACUACUCUUCUUUCCUCUCCAUUCUCCCCUCAGAUUAGCGGCCGGACACUGUCCCUGCCUCGAUUUUGUUUGCUGUGGGAGGGAAAAAAAAAGUUUGCUGCUCCUCCCAAGACACUGGCCACUUUCUACUCACUGAAGUUCCCACCGCAGCGCUGGCUCCCGGCUCCCUAGCUCCCGCCCCCUGUCUGCAGGAAAGCCCUCCCCCGGAGCUUCCGAAACUGCUGGAGGUUCCAGAGUUUUGUAGCUCCGAAUGGGCGACCUGAGCCGAACCGCUCUCUGGCUGGGUGGUCGGCGGGAUCCUUCAGGCUCCUUUCGGGUCCGGGACGGGGCGGCGGCAGAGGUGGGGCGUGCGUGCUUGGGGCUGCCGAGUGAGUGCGGCUCCCUGGUGCGCGCCCGAGCAUCUCCCCGCCCUCUCCUGGGACCAGCAGUCUGCCCGUGGAGGGCUAGGAGCCCGCGACCAGGCCUGCCCCGGCCGUCGCCAACCUGUCCUUGGAAGCGUGGCGGAGACUGGUGCGCUCUCAGCCUCGUCGCGCCAGCCGCCUCGCGCCACCCUCCACUUUCAGCUUCAGAGCAGAGGAUUCCGCCGACCUCCACCUGUACCUGUACUCGGCCGUUAGGAAAUCCACUUGCAUUUUUAACUACCGUGCAGAACCAGAAACAGAUCGAGCACUGGGAGAACAAGGACGACGCCUCCUAGGAAAGCCUGAACCUUUAUGUUAGUUUAUCCAAAGUUUGGGCUAGAAGUGAGGAGAAUCCCUAAACUCGAGGUGGUGUGCCCAGACCCACAGCCCGUGUUCCCGAAGUUGCUAAGUGCCCGAGCGCAGCGCGUUAAGUAGAGAAGUCUUGGUAGUAAGCGAACCCGACCCGGCUCUCGGGGCGCUAGUGACGGAAAGCAGCACGCAUAUCUUUGCGGGAAGAAUCUAGAGUCGCCCUGGGAUAGAUCCAUCUCCUUCUGCCACUGAAUUUCACACUUGAAAAAGAUAAGGUCAUGGGGGCGGAUGAAUGAUAUCCCUCACUCAUUUAGCCAUUCUUAUUAUUAUAUAAAAAAAAGGCUUGUCAAUUAUGAAGGUGUGUCCCAGAUAUUACAUGAAGAUCAUGCAAACUACUUGAAAUUUGAAUCCGGACAUGAUCGUAAGGAAACUCUUUCAUAAAGCACUUUUGUGGCCUAGUUCCCACACACACACAAAAGUAUUAGGUCUUUAAAACUUUUCCAAGUAGUAAGUGAGACUCCCUCUUACUGUCUACGAAUACACAAUAAAGAGAUGAGACACUGCCCCAAUCCUAAAGAGGCCAGAACUGAAGUGCUACAUUGUGUGAGUUAGGGGAUGCUUCUUUUUUCCAGCUCUUUUUUCUAGAAUCCUCAUUACAGCUAACGCUGGUAAUAAAGGUAGGAAAACAAUAGAACUCAUAAAACUUAGAAAUGGUAAUAAAUCUUGGCUCCUGUCUCUAGCCCAGUUCCUUCUUACAUGAGAUUCAAAGUUUUUCAGUAUGCAAUGCUGAACGUUCACACUAUGGUUGCAAAAUAGAAAAAAAUACUCUAGAACUCAUUAAUACGGCCCUGCGCACUCUAUGCCAGGCGUCGCUGGUGGACAAAGCGCGCAGGGGUCCUCCUCUACGUCUGCCUGCGCCUGUAAUCCAGGCAGCUUACGUGUGUUAAAUUUGGGUCUCUCUCUGUCUCUCACACAAAGAAGUUCCAUCAUUUGAGGCCGUUAGGAAAAGCUGAUGUUGUGCAGUGCCAAACUACCACACGCUUCCUCCUUCGGAUGAAUCCCUGGAAAGCAGAGAGGCAGCUCGCUACGUGACCAUCAUGCUUUUUACCUCACUGAGCUGUUGUCAAGAGAGGGCGGGGAUGGCGGGCAGCUCACGUCGUGCCCUCCGCAGCAAUAAAAACUGGAGCGGGAGAAGAAAUGCAAGACAUCGCUGUCUGUUUUGCAAGCCUCUGGCCGCUCUCAGCAAACUCUGCCCGGCGCGGCUGGUGACUUUGCGGUGUGAACGCAGCCGGUCGUGCUCGGGAUAAUGGGACCGAGCUGGCGGCAUCGCCCUCCCGUGGGCCCCUCUUGCCACACAGAUGCGCAGCUCUCCAAAAGGAAAAUGUGGCCCAGCAACCCUCGCCUAGCCCUAGUCCUAGGAAUGCAUGCCUGGGGCCUUUGGAAGCCUCUCAAAGGGCUGGGGGGCGGGGGGGAGGGAUAUAAUGGGCCGAACCUCUGGAUUCAUUUUGGGGAAGAGGAGACAGGUUCUUGCCCCACUACUGAGGCAAGGCCAACAGCACCCUGCCCUGCUGCUCCACCGCCUCCCCGCGGGUCAAGUCUCAGCCGAGUGUCGCUGCCCACCUGAAGGUGACACCUGUCCAUUUUAGUCAGCAUCACAUGCGCCUUCCCUUUCUCCCCUUUGGGGUCUGUCCGUUUUCUCCUCCUGUCCUAAAGAGCCAGCUUGGAACUGAAGGGGCCGGGUAGCAGCUGUUUGUGCCUCUUGCCCGUGCAGACUCGAGGGUCUCCGCAGCCACUUCCUCCUUUAACACGCGAGGCUUUCAGGCGUGCAGAAGGGGACCGCCGGGUCAGGCAGGUAUUAGGCUCUCCAAGGACACUUGUGGACAUCACUGGAGUUUACCUAUUGUUUGGACUUUAUUACAUCUGCUUUAGCAAACGGAGGCAUGAGCGGCCUGUCUGCUGGGUUCAAACCCAGUUGCUGCCCCGGCUGCAACCUCUCCCACUCAAGAGACCCUAGGAACGAUGAGGAACGGGGUAGAAAUGACCAGGGGAGCCAAAUCUCAGGUACCGAGACCUUCCAGCUCACCCCUCAGGCUCAGGAAAGCCAAUAACCCACAUAUGCCCAAAAGGAGCUUAUGUCUCAACUGAGAACAGCAAAUAGGUGAUGGGCCACUUUAGAACAGAGGCUAAAGGCUGGUAGCCACUGAGCAAAACCCAAAUUCUAGGCACCUGAGGUGUUUCCCUUACACAAGUGCCUUCACAGGUAGCAAGCAAUUAAUCUGCAACAGUGAACAACACUAAAACUUAAAUUUUACAUGGAAGUCUCUCAAGUAGACAAAGUUAUUAUUGGGUGGGGUUUUCCCCCCACUGGCAAAAAAAUAACUUAUCCCUUGGCUGUUAGAUUGAGGGAACUAUAAAACAAAUAUUUUAAUUCGAUCACUGACAAAGUCAUAAAAUUCAAUGACUGUUUGUAGAGGAAAACAUGCUUUCAUUAUCUUAAUUAAAGCAAGAUAAGCCUCUCUCAAUGUGCAUGCAUUUUGGAGCCACUGAAUGGACUGGUGAUGAGACGAAGCAACCUUUAAUUGGGACCAUGCUUCUCCAGUACAUUCGUUUGUAUUCCAUGGUGUAAACCGGGCCUUACGCGUGGCUCCGACCUUCGGUGGAAAUGCAUUUGCGUAGCACCACCCAGGGGCUCCCUUGCUUUGGCUAGAGCCUCAUAAAAGACCCCAGGUUUUGCGAAGGAUUUUGAACACCAGCGUCUUUUAACAUGUGGAACUUUCGGUUUUGGUUUAGCUCUGUGAACGUAUUUAAAACUUGCUACAUUAUUCCACAGUGAAAGUUGGAACCUUUUUAAGAGUUAUCAUAGAGUGCCUUUUAACAUCUGUCAUAUUUUCUAUAAACAACUUUUCAGUGAGAAGCGUAUAUAGUGUACUCGAGGUAGGCAUUAGCUGCUGGCAAGGUUUAUGAUACAAUAGUGACACUACAGGACAAUUUUUUAGUCAAACAACACCCGUUAGAUAUUUCAGGGUCCAGCUUAUAUGUUAACUUGUAAAUAUAGGUUAAAAAUAUAGGUAUCAAGUGACUAAAUUCAGUAUCAGACAAAUUGAACAUCUUUUUAUUUCCCAGAAGUGCCCUACUCUUUCUCCUCCCUUUGGUGACCUCUUAGUCUGGAAUGCUCUGCAUCCGGGGCCCCUGGAACACAUAGUUUUUAAAGUACCUAUUAGUGAUACUCUCCUCCCGUUGGCAGUGCUUCCACUGUGUUUUCUGCAUGUAAUAAAGGAUGGCACUGUUUUUUGCAUAGGUCUUUCCUAAUAGCUGAGCACUCUUGGAGUGUAGGGGCUCAACCUUAUGCCUCUUUGGACACACAAGCCUAGCCCAUGGGCUGGCAUAUAGGAGCUGCUCAAUAAAUGUUUGUUGAACGAAUGAGUGGAUACACGAAUAAAAUAUUUUCAUUGUCUUUAGCCCCUCUGACUUUCUUUUUUAAACAGGGGUAUGUCAUAAAUAAAAUUUACCUUGAAAAUGCAUUUAAGUACACUGUUCUACUUCUCUGACCAUGAAGUUUUUAAUGGGACAUCGUUUUAAAAUUCUGGUCAUUACAACGAACCACUUUUGACCUUGGUUGACUUUUCUCAGAAUCAUAAUGCGAAGUAAAGACAAAAACAAUGAGAAAAGGCAAAGAGAUCAAAUUUUGGUUUUCUCUUUUUCAGUAGGAUAUGAUGUUUAUCGAAAUUUGGAAACAAAUUGUAGCAAGCACCUAUAACAUGUAGAUACUCAUGUUUUUAUAUUAAAUAUGACAUUAUUUAUAAAA
This 5301-nucleotide long non-coding RNA is filed under the name Homo sapiens (human). RNAcentral's name for it is "non-protein coding lnc-DCTD-65:8". Lineage: Eukaryota; Metazoa; Chordata; Mammalia; Primates; Hominidae. The record is from RNAcentral.